Molecule: ribosomal RNA, 253 nt
Filed under: uncultured bacterium
Lineage: Bacteria
Also listed under: 2 other names
Description: partial 16S ribosomal RNA
Rfam family: Bacterial small subunit ribosomal RNA
Source: RNAcentral
UACGGAGGGUGCAAGCGUUGUCCGGAUUUAUUGGGUUUAAAGGGUGCGUAGGCGGCCCGUUAAGUCAGUGGUGAAAGCCUCCAGCUCAACUGGAGAACUGCCAUUGAUACUGACGGGCUUGAGUACAGACGAGGUUGGCGGAAUUGAUUGUGUAGCGGUGAAAUGCAUAGAUACAAUCAAGAACACCGAUUGCGUAGGCAGCUAACUAGGCUGUAACUGACGCUGAGGCACGAAAGCGUGGGGAGCGAACAGG